RNAcentral lists this ribosomal RNA (465 nucleotides) under Vreelandella stevensii. RNAcentral describes it as "partial 16S ribosomal RNA". It matches the Rfam family "Bacterial small subunit ribosomal RNA", at positions 338 to 795 of the family's 1533-position model. The record is from RNAcentral. Lineage: Bacteria; Pseudomonadati; Pseudomonadota; Gammaproteobacteria; Oceanospirillales; Halomonadaceae.
CCUACGGGCGGCAGCAGUGGUGAAUAUUGGACAAUGGGCGAAAGCCUGAUCCAGCCAUGCCGCGUGUGUGAAGAAGGCCUUCGGGUUGUAAAGCACUUUCAGUGGGGAAGAAAGCCUUGGGGCUAAUACCCUCGAGGAAGGACAUCACCCACAGAAGAAGCACCGGCUAACUCCGUGCCAGCAGCCGCGGUAAUACGGAGGGUGCGAGCGUUAAUCGGAAUUACUGGGCGUAAAGCGCGCGUAGGCGGUCUGAUAAGCCGGUUGUGAAAGCCCCGGGCUCAACCUGGGAACGGCAUCCGGAACUGUCAGGCUAGAGUGCAGGAGAGGAAGGUAGAAUUCCCGGUGUAGCGGUGAAAUGCGUAGAGAUCGGGAGGAAUACCAGUGGCGAAGGCGGCCUUCUGGACUGACACUGACGCUGAGGUGCGAAAGCGUGGGUAGCAAACAGGAUUAGAUACCCUAGUAGUC